UUAUUGGGCGUAAGGGCUCGUAGGUGGUUGAUCGCGUCGGAAGUGUAAUCUUGGGGCUUAACCCUGAGCGUGCUUUCGAUACGGGUUGACUUGAGGAAGGUAGGGGAGAAUGGAAUUCCUGGUGGAGCGGUGGAAUGCGCAGAUAUCAGGAGGAACACCAGUGGCGAAGGCGGUUCUCUGGGCCUUUCCUGACGCUGAGGAGCGAAAGCGUGGGGAGCGAACAGGCUUAGAUACCCUGGUAGUCCACGCUGUAAACGGUGGGUACUAGGUGUGGGGUCCAUUCCACGGGUUCCGUGCCGUAGCUAACGCUUUAAGUACCCCGCCUGGGGAGUACGGCCGCAAGGCUAAAACUCAAAGGAAUUGACGGGGCCCCGCGCAAGCGGCGGAGCAUGCGGAUUAAUUCGAUGCAACGCGUAGAACCCUACCUGGGUUUGACAUGGAUCGGGAGUGCUCAGAGAUGGGUGUGCCUCUUUUGGGGUCGGUUCACAGGUGGUGCAUGGCUGUCGUCAGCUCGUGUCGUGAGAUGUUGGGUUAAGUCCCGCAACGAGCGCAACCCUUGUUCACUGUUGCCAGCACGUUAUGGUGGGGACUCAGUGGAGACCGCCGGGGUCAACUCGGAGGAAGGUGGGGAUGACGUCAAGUCAUCAUGCCCCUUAUGUCCAGGGCUUCACGCAUGCUACAAUGGCUGGUACAGAGAGUGGCGAGCCUGUGAGGGUGAGCGAAUCUCGGAAAGCCGGUCUCAGUUCGGAUUGGGGUCUGCAACUCGACCUCAUGAAGUC
RNAcentral lists this ribosomal RNA (779 nucleotides) under uncultured Propionibacterium sp. Its description in RNAcentral is "SSU rRNA". It matches the Rfam family "Bacterial small subunit ribosomal RNA", at positions 551 to 1327 of the family's 1533-position model. The record is from RNAcentral. Lineage: Bacteria; Bacillati; Actinomycetota; Actinomycetes; Propionibacteriales; Propionibacteriaceae.